This 1027-nucleotide ribosomal RNA is filed under the name Bacillus licheniformis. Its description in RNAcentral is "bacterial SSU rRNA". It matches the Rfam family "Bacterial small subunit ribosomal RNA", at positions 230 to 1251 of the family's 1533-position model. Lineage: Bacteria; Bacillati; Bacillota; Bacilli; Caryophanales; Bacillaceae. The record is from RNAcentral.
CCCGCGGCGCAUUAGCUAGUUGGUGAGGUAACGGCUCACCAAGGCGACGAUGCGUAGCCGACCUGAGAGGGUGAUCGGCCACACUGGGACUGAGACACGGCCCAGACCCUACGGGAGGCAGCAGUAGGGAAUCUUCCGCAAUGGACGAAAGUCUGACGGAGAACGCCGCGUGAGUGAUGAAGGUUUUCGGAUCGUAAAACUCUGUUGUUAGGGAAGAACAAGUACCGUUCGAAUAGGGCGGUACCUUGACGGUACCUAACCAGAAAGCCACGGCUAACUACGUGCCAGCAGCCGCGGUAAUACGUAGGUGGCAAGCGUUGUCCGGAAUUAUUGGGCGUAAAGCGCGCGCAGGCGGUUUCUUAAGUCUGAUGUGAAAGCCCCCGGCUCAACCGGGGAGGGUCAUUGGAAACUGGGGAACUUGAGUGCAGAAGAGGAGAGUGGAAUUCCACGUGUAGCGGUGAAAUGCGUAGAGAUGUGGAGGAACACCAGUGGCGAAGGCGACUCUCUGGUCUGUAACUGACGCUGAGGCGCGAAAGCGUGGGGAGCGAACAGGAUUAGAUACCCUGGUAGUCCACGCCGUAAACGAUGAGUGCUAAGUGUUAGAGGGUUUCCGCCCUUUAGUGCUGCAGCAAACGCAUUAAGCACUCCGCCUGGGGAGUACGGUCGCAAGACUGAAACUCAAAGGAAUUGACGGGGGCCCGCACAAGCGGUGGAGCAUGUGGUUUAAUUCGAAGCAACGCGAAGAACCUUACCAGGUCUUGACAUCCUCUGACAACCCUAGAGAUAGGGCUUCCCCUUCGGGGGCAGAGUGACAGGUGGUGCAUGGUUGUCGUCAGCUCGUGUCGUGAGAUGUUGGGUUAAGUCCCGCAACGAGCGCAACCCUUGAUCUUAGUUGCCAGCAUUCAGUUGGGCACUCUAAGGUGACUGCCGGUGACAAACCGGAGGAAGGUGGGGAUGACGUCAAAUCAUCAUGCCCCUUAUGACCUGGGCUACACACGUGCUACAAUGGGCAGAACAAAGGGCAGCG